GAGGGUUAAAAUCCGCCCUAACGCUCAAAGAAAG
Molecule: transfer RNA, 34 nt
Filed under: Perca flavescens (yellow perch)
Lineage: Eukaryota; Metazoa; Chordata; Actinopteri; Perciformes; Percidae
Description: partial threonine transfer RNa
Source: RNAcentral